AUGGCUAGACCCUGCAGUAGGCCGCCAUCUGGAUCUACAUGGCCGGCGCAUGAACUUCAUCUAGAUGGACUGAUCUGCUGGUCACCUACCACAUCAGAUCUGAAGGGUGGCCUGGUGGGCAACAUCUCGCUCACAAAUUGGAGGAUGCCCAAAAUUUUUGGGUGGCUGCAGAUUUUAGAAAUAGAUUCGAGCACAACACGAUCAGAUGACACCAAAAAAAUUGAAUCUGAAUCCAUAAGAAAAGAUAGAAUAGCAAACGGACAAAAAAACCAGGAAAAAAUAGUGCGAGAAAAAAAUCAACAAAAAAAAGAGCUUGCUCCAGAUGAGGAAAACAAAUUGAGGUAG
This 345-nucleotide ribosomal RNA is filed under the name Triticum aestivum (bread wheat). RNAcentral describes it as "partial small subunit ribosomal RNA". The record is from RNAcentral. Lineage: Eukaryota; Viridiplantae; Streptophyta; Magnoliopsida; Poales; Poaceae.